CAGAGGUCCCAAGCGUUGUUCGGAUUCACUGGGCGUAAAGGGUGCGUAGGCGGUCGGGUAAGUCUGAUGUGAAAUCUCACAGCUUAACUGUGAAACUGCAUUGGAUACUAUCCGGCUUGAGGAAUGGAGGGGAGACUGGAAUACUUGGUGUAGCAGUGAAAUGCGUAGAUAUCAAGUGGAACACCAGUGGCGAAGGCGAGCCUCUGGACAUUUCCUGACGCUGAGGCACGAAAGCCAGGGGAGCAAACGGGAUUAGAUACCCCGGUAGUCCUGGCCCUAAACGGUGCGCAUUUGCUGUGAGUGGAAUCGACCCCGCUCGUGGCGAAGCUAACGCGUUAAAUGCGCCGCCUGGGAAUACGGCCGCAAGGUUA
RNAcentral lists this ribosomal RNA (371 nucleotides) under uncultured organism. RNAcentral's name for it is "bacterial SSU rRNA". It matches the Rfam family "Bacterial small subunit ribosomal RNA", at positions 526 to 896 of the family's 1533-position model. The record is from RNAcentral.